UGGGGAAUUUUGGACAAUGGGCGAAAGCCUGAUCCAGCAAUGCCGCGUGUGUGAAGAAGGCCUUCGGGUUGUAAAGCACUUUUGUCCGGAAAGAAAUCCUUGGCUCUAAUACAGUCGGGGGAUGACGGUACCGGAAGAAUAAGCACCGGCUAACUACGUGCCAGCAGCCGCGGUAAUACGUAGGGUGCAAGCGUUAAUCGGAAUUACUGGGCGUAAAGCGUGCGCAGGCGGUUUGCUAAGACCGAUGUGAAAUCCCCGGGCUCAACCUGGGAACUGCAUUGGUGACUGGCAGGCUAGAGUAUGGCAGAGGGGGGUAGAAUUCCACGUGUAGCAGUGAAAUGCGUAGAGAUGUGGAGGAAUACCGAUGGCGAAGGCAGCCCCCUGGGCCAAUACUGACGCUCAUGCACGAAAGCGUGGGGAGCAAACAGGAUUAGAUACCCUGGUAGUCCACGCCCUAAACGAUGUCAACUAGUUGUUGGGAUUCAUUUCCUUAGUAACGUAGCUAACGCGUGAAGUUGACCGCCUGGGGAGUACGGUCGCAAGAUUAAAACUC
Molecule: ribosomal RNA, 553 nt
Filed under: uncultured bacterium
Lineage: Bacteria
Description: partial 16S ribosomal RNA
Rfam family: Bacterial small subunit ribosomal RNA
Source: RNAcentral